Molecule: ribosomal RNA, 2903 nt
Filed under: Klebsiella pneumoniae
Lineage: Bacteria; Pseudomonadati; Pseudomonadota; Gammaproteobacteria; Enterobacterales; Enterobacteriaceae
Description: 23S ribosomal RNA
Rfam family: Bacterial large subunit ribosomal RNA
Source: RNAcentral
GGUUAAGCGACUAAGCGUACACGGUGGAUGCCCUGGCAGUCAGAGGCGAUGAAGGACGUGCUAAUCUGCGAAAAGCGUCGGUAAGGUGAUAUGAACCGUUAUAACCGGCGAUGUCCGAAUGGGGAAACCCAGUGUGAUUCGUCACACUAUCGUUAACUGAAUACAUAGGUUAACGAGGCGAACCGGGGGAACUGAAACAUCUAAGUACCCCGAGGAAAAGAAAUCAACCGAGAUUCCCCCAGUAGCGGCGAGCGAACGGGGAGCAGCCCAGAGUCUGAAUCAGCUUGUGUGUUAGUGGAACGGUCUGGAAAGUCCGACGGUACAGGGUGAUAGUCCCGUACACCAAAAUGCACAGGCUGUGAACUCGAAGAGUAGGGCGGGACACGUGGUAUCCUGUCUGAAUAUGGGGGGACCAUCCUCCAAGGCUAAAUACUCCUGACUGACCGAUAGUGAACCAGUACCGUGAGGGAAAGGCGAAAAGAACCCCGGCGAGGGGAGUGAAAAAGAACCUGAAACCGUGUACGUACAAGCAGUGGGAGCACCUUCGGGUGUGACUGCGUACCUUUUGUAUAAUGGGUCAGCGACUUAUAUUCUGUAGCAAGGUUAACCGUAUAGGGGAGCCGCAGGGAAACCGAGUCUUAACUGGGCGUUAAGUUGCAGGGUAUAGACCCGAAACCCGGUGAUCUAGCCAUGGGCAGGUUGAAGGUUGGGUAACACUAACUGGAGGACCGAACCGACUAAUGUUGAAAAAUUAGCGGAUGACUUGUGGCUGGGGGUGAAAGGCCAAUCAAACCGGGAGAUAGCUGGUUCUCCCCGAAAGCUAUUUAGGUAGCGCCUCGUGAACUCAUCUUCGGGGGUAGAGCACUGUUUCGGCUAGGGGGUCAUCCCGACUUACCAACCCGAUGCAAACUACGAAUACCGAAGAAUGUUAUCACGGGAGACACACGGCGGGUGCUAACGUCCGUCGUGAAGAGGGAAACAACCCAGACCGCCAGCUAAGGUCCCAAAGUCAUGGUUAAGUGGGAAACGAUGUGGGAAGGCACAGACAGCCAGGAUGUUGGCUUAGAAGCAGCCAUCAUUUAAAGAAAGCGUAAUAGCUCACUGGUCGAGUCGGCCUGCGCGGAAGAUGUAACGGGGCUAAACCAUGCACCGAAGCUGCGGCAGCGACACUAUGUGUUGUUGGGUAGGGGAGCGUUCUGUAAGCCUGCGAAGGUGACCUGUGAGGGUUGCUGGAGGUAUCAGAAGUGCGAAUGCUGACAUAAGUAACGAUAAAGCGGGUGAAAAGCCCGCUCGCCGGAAGACCAAGGGUUCCUGUCCAACGUUAAUCGGGGCAGGGUGAGUCGACCCCUAAGGCGAGGCCGAAAGGCGUAGUCGAUGGGAAACAGGUUAAUAUUCCUGUACUUGGUGUUACUGCGAAGGGGGGACGGAGAAGGCUAUGUUAGCCGGGCGACGGUUGUCCCGGUUUAAGCAUGUAGGCUGGUUAUCCAGGCAAAUCCGGAUAAUCAAGGCUGAGGUGUGAUGACGAGGCACUACGGUGCUGAAGUAACAAAUGCCCUGCUUCCAGGAAAAGCCUCUAAGCAUCAGGUAACAUCAAAUCGUACCCCAAACCGACACAGGUGGUCAGGUAGAGAAUACCAAGGCGCUUGAGAGAACUCGGGUGAAGGAACUAGGCAAAAUGGUGCCGUAACUUCGGGAGAAGGCACGCUGGUGUGUAGGUGAAGCCCCUGCGGGUGGAGCUGAGACCAGUCGAAGAUACCAGCUGGCUGCAACUGUUUAUUAAAAACACAGCACUGUGCAAACACGAAAGUGGACGUAUACGGUGUGACGCCUGCCCGGUGCCGGAAGGUUAAUUGAUGGGGUUAUCCGUAAGGAGAAGCUCUUGAUCGAAGCCCCGGUAAACGGCGGCCGUAACUAUAACGGUCCUAAGGUAGCGAAAUUCCUUGUCGGGUAAGUUCCGACCUGCACGAAUGGCGUAAUGAUGGCCAGGCUGUCUCCACCCGAGACUCAGUGAAAUUGAACUCGCUGUGAAGAUGCAGUGUACCCGCGGCAAGACGGAAAGACCCCGUGAACCUUUACUAUAGCUUGACACUGAACAUUGAGCCUUGAUGUGUAGGAUAGGUGGGAGGCUUUGAAGCGUGGACGCCAGUCUGCGUGGAGCCAACCUUGAAAUACCACCCUUUAAUGUUUGAUGUUCUAACGUUGGCCCCUUACCGGGGUUGCGGACAGUGUCUGGUGGGUAGUUUGACUGGGGCGGUCUCCUCCCAAAGCGUAACGGAGGAGCACGAAGGUUAGCUAAUCCUGGUCGGACAUCAGGAGGUUAGUGCAAUGGCAUAAGCUAGCUUGACUGCGAGCGUGACGGCGCGAGCAGGUGCGAAAGCAGGUCAUAGUGAUCCGGUGGUUCUGAAUGGAAGGGCCAUCGCUCAACGGAUAAAAGGUACUCCGGGGAUAACAGGCUGAUACCGCCCAAGAGUUCAUAUCGACGGCGGUGUUUGGCACCUCGAUGUCGGCUCAUCACAUCCUGGGGCUGAAGUAGGUCCCAAGGGUAUGGCUGUUCGCCAUUUAAAGUGGUACGCGAGCUGGGUUUAGAACGUCGUGAGACAGUUCGGUCCCUAUUCUGCCGUGGGCGCUGGAGAAUUGAGGGGGGCUGCUCCUAGUACGAGAGGACCGGAGUGGACGCAUCACUGGUGUUCGGGUUGUCAUGCCAAUGGCACUGCCCGGUAGCUAAAUGCGGAAGAGAUAAGUGCUGAAAGCAUCUAAGCACGAAACUUGCCCCGAGAUGAGUUCUCCCUGAGACUUUAAGUCUCCUGAAGGAACGUUGAAGACGACGACGUUGAUAGGCCGGGUGUGUAAGCGCAGCGAUGCGUUGAGCUAACCGGUACUAAUGAACCGUGAGGCUUAACCUU